RNAcentral lists this long non-coding RNA (2947 nucleotides) under Pan troglodytes (chimpanzee). Its description in RNAcentral is "lincRNA". The record is from RNAcentral. Lineage: Eukaryota; Metazoa; Chordata; Mammalia; Primates; Hominidae.
GCGGCCGGGAGGGACCGAGCGGGGAGCGAGGCCUGCGGUGAGGCGCAGGAUGGACGCGUUGGCUGUCAUGAUGUAGGACCUCCUGACCUAGAACCAUGCCCGGCGCAGGGAGAACAACGAGCUUAUGGACCGGGUGCGGGGGCUGCUGUGCGAGAAAGCCUACCUGCUGGCCCGGGAGCGUUCGCUGGCCCACCUGGUGGCUUUCCCUAGACGUUUAACGGCGACUCCGCCCGGCCUCCCGACUUUUUGAUGCAGGCGUUCUCUUACAUGACUUUCUUCGAGGCUAGAUUCUCGAAAGACAUCCUGAAGGUGGCUUUCUUAAUUAGCUGCCUCACCGAGUGGCGGAGCAGUUCGUAGUCCCCUACAUCGAGAGGGAGAGCCCCGUCCUGGCUCAGUACUAGGGCUUCGUGGACGCGCUGUAGCGGGCCUUGGCCGUUGUGGGUAGGAAACAGUCGGGCCGGAUCCCCGGUGUCUGGGGAGCGGCUGCGGCCCGGGCCCGCGCGAGCCACUUCGCUCCUACAAGCCCGGCUCACUAGUUCCAAGCUGCUGGACUUUGACCCUCGCUGGGAAGCUUGAUCGCCGCCUGUUCUCGCCAAUCUCUGCCUUUGCACUGCCCAGCAACCCGGUCACUGCCCAGGACCUGUUAAAAGUGGAAUGGACCUCCCAGAAUCACGCCGCUGCCACCGCCGUUUCUAGAGACGGCUUUUGGCCACCUUUGAGAAUCAGGGUCAAACUUGGAAGGGCCUGCAUUUGUCACACCUCCUCGGACACUAAUUUGGAUAGUUCAGGCCCAGAGACAGCUUCCCGGGUUAGUGUGCCUGACAACACUGAAGAAAAAUUGUGACAUUUUCCUUCCCCAAAAUUACUUCGUUUUAUACAUUUCACUUCUCUUCUGAAAUUACAGCAAUGUCAGUUUGCGCCUUUUGGUCUGAGGAACGCAGGCCCUGGCCACUACCAGGAAAAAGUACACAAGGCUUGCUUGUAGAGAUGGAGUUACAUGGAGGGACAGAAGGUCACUGGUCAGUGAUUUUAGGUUUUUAUACUUCUGAAAACAGGUAAUUACAGAUUCUGAUCAGUUUAUCAUUUUCUUUAGUCUUUUAUUUUCUGCUGAAUGCUCUCAAGGGACUGGAUCCAUACCUGUUUAUCAGGCUCACCUGGAAGAGCCAAGUCAUCCACUCAGGUCUUCCUCUGGACCUGCAUAAUUUCCUCAUUUACUAGAUUGGGUUUCUUUUAUGUGUGGGCUUUUAAUGCUUGGUAUCUCUGGUCUUCCUAAUAUGUAAUGCUUAGCAUAAUGAUUUUAGCCAUUAUUCAUUUUUGUAGUAGGCUUCACUAGCUUCCUGCUUCUCAAAUCCCUUGAAAAAAUGAGAUUUUUUUUUCAUGGAGUUCACGUCUAGUAAGUUGGUCUUGAUUUUUUUUUUUUUCUUUCAGAACCUUCUGGAUUUCAGCUUUGGCAAGCUUCCUCUGUUUCUGAGCCACCUCCAUCACCUGGGGUACAAUCCCAUCCAUGAUUUUCCCCAUCUCCAGGCAUUUUUCAUGGAAAGCUCCUCAUGCUUUUUAAUUCUAGUUUAUCCAUUUGUGUGGCUUUAACCUCCACAUCCAGGUCUUUCUGGCUAAACUGCAGUAUAUCCACAAUGGGGCCAAUGGACACAUAAGGGAGGCCCUGUCACAGGAACACGAACACCCGGAGUCGCUAGAAAUCAGAUUCCACCAGCUUUGCUUCAGGCCGACUUCCUAAGGAAGGCAUGGUAGCAUCACAGAUGCUGUUUGUCUCAGUUUCCUGAGAAACCAAUUUGUUAGAGCUGUCAUUCAAGAGUGGGUCAAAUUUGAGAUAUAAAAACCUUUCUCAAGGUAGACUCUUUGGCCCCUAUGCCUAGUAUGUCAGCUGGGCCUCUGAAGCUCUCCUCUUUGAGGUCCUGGCAGGCUCUGGCCCCUGUUGAGAAGGGGAAGCAGUCAUGUGAACUCAUGUGCUGGAAGAAUCCACUCUACCCCUUCCCUGGCUACUCUCAGCUUCUCUCCUGCAAUUUUUGUCUUUAAACAUAUCUUCAGGUGAUUCCAGGUUGCAUACAUAAUUGAGAAAUAUAAGAUUUGGUCCCCGGUAGAGAGCCAGGUGAACUUAAGAAGGAGUCCAUCUAAGAAAAUUGCACAAUUAUCUAGUUUCACUUGGGUUUAGCUUUUAUGGCUUUACUUGAUUUAGUAAUCAAAUGAUUUUCAAAUGAUUUUGAUCAGGUGACUCUUCGUAAACUAGAGAAUGAACUUGAGAGCCGAAUUAGCACAGUUUAAAAAUAAUCAUUUUGUUUUUGUUCUCUAUUGUGUAAAUUACUGAGGUUUGACUGUCUUGGCUAAACUAAGGCUCAUCUAAUAUCUUUAUUUUUGAUAUCGUAAUUUCUUGCCAAUUAAUUGAAGGUAACAUACUAGCAGACCAGAUAACUACUUAUGCAAACCUUAGAUAACCACUAAUUUAAACAAAAUUAAAUCCUUUGCCUUCCCCAGAUCCUUUGCACAUGGCCUGCUAUCAACAAUCUUCUACAAUGAUUCUCAGCAUCACCUGGGGAGCUUAUGCAAAAUCUCAAAUUCCUGGGCCCUAUCCCCAGAGUUUCUUAUCGAUUUCCUUGAUGGAGAACUAUCAAAGCAGUCAAAGCUAUCAAAAUAAAAAAGAAUUCUGAUUGGGUGCAGUGGCUCACACCUGUCAUUCCAGCACUUUGACAGGCCAAGGUGGGCAGAUCACAUGAGGCCAGGAGUUCAAGACCAGCCUGGCCAACAUGGCAGAAACCCCAUCUCUACUAAAAAUACCAAAAUUAGCCGGGCAUGGUGGAACACACCUGCAAUCCCAGCUACUCGGGAGGCUGAAGCAAGAGAAUCGCUUGAACCUGGGAGGCAGAAGUUGCAGUGAAACAAGGUGGUGCCAAUGCAUUCCAGCCUGGAUGACAGAGCGAGACUCUGUCUCAAG